Long non-coding RNA from Pseudopipra pipra, 2774 nucleotides. RefSeq lists it as uncharacterized. The transcript has 2 exons. Lineage: Eukaryota; Metazoa; Chordata; Aves; Passeriformes; Pipridae. The record is from RefSeq and is a predicted model, not a curated record.
GUGUCGCCGCUGAUUGAAAGCAGCCUGUAGCAGGGGGGCUCGCAUGUGACAUGUCACCUAUGACCACGGGGCAAGGGGGGUCCAACCCCAGGGGGACCAUCAGCAAGAGACGCGGUGACAUUGCCACUGAGCGAUGUCUCUGCUCUCCCAUAACCUUCCGACGUGGGUUGCUCGUGAAGGCCCUCUGGGGCUGAGAGCUGAGGACCGAGUUCCCCUCUGCGGAACAGCAGGUUUGUUUGGUGUUUGCAGGUGAAGCUGGCCAGGCCCACCUGGCACUGGUGUCUCUCCCUGCUCCUGGCUCCAGCAGCACCCGCACAGGUAUCAGGAGGGGCUGAGGCUGCCGGGCAGCACAGCUGGUCCGCACGGGGCCAGAACUGGAGCCAUACCUGGGGCAGACCUGAGCUGAAAUAUUUAAUUUCCCCCCCUACAGUUCUUUUGGAAGUUGACCUAAAAAAAACCCAGUAAAAUAACUGGAAGAUGGAAGAGGUUGUUUCUUUUCAUGGCUCCAAGCUUGUGAAAAUCCGUUAUCCCCGUAACAACACUGGCCUCUCUCAGCUUGGCACACACUCUUGGCUUUUUGGCUGCCAGGUAUGAAAAAUCUUUCUACUGCCCUAAUCUCUCCUGGACAUCUGUUGUUUUGGGAGACAGAGCAUGUGGAGUGCUGGGCUGUUUGGCUCUGGGGAAGUCACCUGAGAGCCUCUGCAAUAUAUGUAGAGAGCAGAAUGCCAGCAACAGUGAGCCCAGCCUUUGCAAGCUUAGAAAUCAAGCUGUGGAACUGCGGAGGUGCUAACACCCCAUGGAGGAACAGUGGUGUGCUGCCACGCCAACAGGCACCGCUCGCUCUAAGGACAUCCCAAGGACUGCUGAAGGCAAGUGACAGCAGCAGCAUUCCCUUGCUGGGCCAACCCCCAGGUAACCGGUUUUGGUCAUGCUGGUUUGCAUGUUUAGCUGGGCUCUGACAGCUGGUGCUGGCGAGACUUGAGAUACCCAGUGGCACAGCCACUCCCCCCAACACCCCUUUGCACCCACACUGGUUUCCUCCCUUUAACACUGAAAGUAACCUGCAUUAGUUUUAACAGAUUGUACUCUUGAAGCCCGAAAGAGACCAACAGAAACUUCUCUUCCAGUUCCACACCAGAAUACACUUGCUGCUCAUGUCCCAGUGAGGUUAGGCUGGGGAAUAUCUCCCUCUCCUUCCAGCCAGGGACUGGCUGCUCUUUGGUGAAAGUCAAAGCGAUGUUCCUGCAUGUCUGCAGCUAGCAGGGAGCUUCACCGAGCCCGUGGGCAGUGCAGCCUCUUCUCUGCACCCUCUUGUCAGCUCCAUAAGGAUACAGCUCCUGGUGGAUCUGUGUCCCGACAGCUGUGGCUUCCAUAGCGCAGCUCUCCAGCACAGGAAGGACAUAUUUGUCCCCAGGUUGCUGCUCCAUGCAAAGACCCCCCACCAGCCAUUGGUUCACUCUCCUUCCCAUCAAGGAGAAGAGAGGGCAGAGCAAGCUCAUUGUGCCAAUCCAGAAGUGCUGAGGGCAGAGGUGCUGCCCAAGCCCUGCUCUCCCAUGGCAGUCCCUACUCCAGUCCUCCUGAGCUCAAGUUCUGCCUCAGCUUGCAGCCACUAGAACUGCAAAGAAGUGCAAAGCACAAGAAACUCAGCUGGUGGGAGCACAGGCAAGCAAGGAACAGAGCAAAGGGGCAGGGAAGCAGCUCUGCACAUGUUACAGCAGUGCUCAGAGUCCUGCUCCAGACCAGCCUGGAGCACUCUGGAAUGCAGCAGUGGCUCUGCCAUGACUGUGUGUCACGUGGCAGGGACACCUGCUGAAGGAGCAGAACAGUUUAAACAGGCAACACUUGGCUGAACCUGCUUAAUUGAAGGAUGGAUCUAAGCAUUAUCUACUACUGUCACUACGAAUGCUUCUGGCCUCUUUUGAAAGUGCAGGACUUGAGCCUGCAGCACAAGAGAUUUGAGAAUCCCCAAAAUUUUUACCAAAAAAUCAAACUCUGAAAGAAAUUCCACGCUCCCACCAUUUUAUGAAACAUCAAAGACCAGACGAUACAGAAGCUGCACAGUGGGUUAUUCAGGCAACAUUUAUUAGAGUAUUUCAAGUAUACAAUGGUUUUACUGAUGGCUGUGAGCAGCUAAGAUGCAGAUGCCAGCAGGAAAGGGUGACCUAGAACUAGCAGGCUGUGCAAUUCUUGUGGAAAGUUAAUGGUUUCAGCUGAUAGAAAAGGAAAAGAAAAGUAGCAGACUAAAAGUUUAAGCAAGUUUGGGGAUGGAGAGGAGAAAAUAUAGAAGUUAUUAUUUGAAAUCAUUUACUUAAAUUGGCCACUCACAUAUAGCAGAAGCUGUCUGCUAUUGCACUCUUCCCUUGGCAUCCCAAGGACCUAAAAUAGCCAGGGGUGUUUUUUCCACCAAGAACAGACAGCAUUUUCCCUGGUAAGAAUGGAGGCCUGCACUGGUGGGCAACUCCAGAGCCCUGGCUCAGCACUUGGAGAUUGAGAUCCCUGGCUUUGCACACUCACAGGUGAGAGCCAGGCUGUGGCACUUCCACCAGUGAGGAGGCAAAGCAGACUUGCAGCAAGAGCACACUAAACUAUCAACCCCUUACUAUAAGGCAGCUUUAGGUCAGGACUCUUUUUGGGUGCCUGAGCUGUUUAGAAAAGCAAGGACCACAUGGCAACAAGACUACAAGGUCCUCUGACAAAAACAAGGACUGUGCGUAUUUCCCAAGAACUAUUUCUGAAAGACACUUCCUUAAAAAUAUCUUAAUGCAGAGAUUCCC